UCAGGGGAAGUAGUUUGUAGUCACUCUCUGGGAGGUGUGUUUGGGGCUGCAGAAGUAAAUAGCCUUAACUACUCCUUGGAGGAGUGGGGAGAGCCAGAAGUCCUCAGAUGCCAGUGGCACUGAUUAGAUUCCUGAAGAGUAGGACCCGGAAGGUCCUUUGAAGAACCACACUGGAGAUUCUAUGUGCCAACCAGACUGAACAUGUGCCCUCCCCACAGAAUGACUGAGCAUGCUCCAUCCCCACACAGCUCCUACCCGCAGUGCUGACUAGACUGCGCAAGCACCAUCCGACACAGCAUGCUUAUGCAGGGCUGACUGCCUCUCCUGAGCUCUCCAAGUCUCUGCUGUUGGCUACCAUACAGCAUGGAGGAGGAGUACACAAUCAAUGAACACAGCACUGUGUACACAGAUGAAAACAAAUAUUGGUCUCCAGCCCAGCGAGCGCAUUAGUAGAAAAUAUUGUUACACAUAGCAGUCCAG
Molecule: long non-coding RNA, 480 nt
Organism: Chelonia mydas (Green sea turtle)
Lineage: Eukaryota; Metazoa; Chordata; Testudines; Cheloniidae
Exons: 4
Source: RefSeq, a predicted model, not a curated record